ACAGUAGUUAUUACCGGCGGAAUGCCUCGCCGGUAAUGGGCAAUGUGGUUUGUGCGGGAAAAUUCCCGCUUUUUUUUACUUUAAAAAUAAUUAGCGGCGGACUUUUACCAGCGGAUCCCGCCGCUAAUAAAACAAUAAUAUUCCUGUUUAGACUAUUACCGGCGGAACCCACUAAUACCGGCGGGUUUCCGCCGGUAAUAAUUUUAUAUAUAAAAAAAAAAAAAUCUUCAAACAUCAUUUCGUGCCUCUUCUUCUUCUCUCCUUCAUCUUUCAUCUUCUCACUCCAUCUCUUUCUCUCUCCCCAUCUCAGCUCCUCUCCAAGAUCCCACCACCAUAUCUCAACUCAUGUAUAAAAAAUAAUUCUCAACUCACAUCUAAAAUUUUGCUGGCGUGGAAGUUCCGUCCAAGCUCUGUCCAAGCUCCCCUGUACCAGCCAAAGCUCCAUUAAAAUUUUUGUUCAGCUUAAGUUAUGAUGGAAGAGAGUAGUGGUUCAAUCGAUGUAAAGAAGAAUAGUGAUUCAAUCGUUGUGAAGAAGAGAAAAUGUCAAUGCGGGGCUGAAUGUGUAGUAAGAAAAAAUAAAAAUAACGGCGAAUUAUUCUAUGGUUGUCCGUUGUGGAAGAAUAAAACUGACCAAGGCUGUGGAUUUCAAGGACUUGUUGAAGGUGAAAGGUCGACUGCUUUAAAAUCAUUUGAUACCAAAGAAAUACAUCAAUUGUUGGCGGCAAUAAAUUCAAUUGUGCGGUUGUUGUUGGAGAUGAACAUUGUUUUUAAUAAAAUAGCUGAUUUGUUGUCGAAGAUGAAUAUUAUGUUUGCUAAAAUGUUACAAUGUGUAAUUAUUUAUUUUGUUAUGUAUUUGUUAUUUAAAUGUUUGUAUAUGUGAAAGUUCAAUAAUAAAUAAUUUUAUGUA
Molecule: long non-coding RNA, 907 nt
Organism: Cannabis sativa
Lineage: Eukaryota; Viridiplantae; Streptophyta; Magnoliopsida; Rosales; Cannabaceae
Exons: 3
Source: RefSeq, a predicted model, not a curated record